RNAcentral lists this long non-coding RNA (3662 nucleotides) under Homo sapiens (human). RNAcentral's name for it is "HSALNT0396686". The record is from RNAcentral. Lineage: Eukaryota; Metazoa; Chordata; Mammalia; Primates; Hominidae.
GGAAAGUUUGAAAUUGACUUUCUGUUCCACAGAAGGGUGAGUGACUGUAAGAUCAAGAUUCAGCACACGUGUGAGAAUGUGACUCCACUACAGAAAUACAGUUCACAAGAGGGAUUGAGGCUCUCACACAGAUUCAGUCCAGUGUUGAGAUUGUGACUGAUGUACUUAGACACAACACAAAGGGCAUGUUGGCUCUGUUACCUAGAACUGGGACAUGUGCUGGAUUCUUAAUUUAAUCUCUGGACCUUCCUGCAGGAGUGACAGUGACAUGUGUCUCUUUCCAGCACCUGAGUGAUUUGACUCUUUUGCUUGGGGCCUGCCCAAAUAUGAGUUUGUGACAUAUCACUAAAGGUAGCACCUAGGUGAUGUGACUCAUUCUCUUUACUUGGUGCUGGCCAUAAGAGACAUUUUGACAUAUCAUGGGCCUUGCAACCUGGUGGUACGAAUCUUCUCUUCUGUCUUUGUUUUUUUUUUAAGGCGGCAUUGUGACAUAUUGCUGCCCUGCAAAAGGGUUGUGUGACGCUCCUGCCUGUGCCCUGUCCACAUAGACCAUUGUAACAUAUUGUUGGGUCUAACACUUUGGUGAUGUAACUCUCCUGCCUGGUCCCUGCCUACAGAGGACAUUGUGACAUAUUUCUCUGCCCAUCACCCGGUUGAUGUGACUCACUUCUCCUGCCUGGUCUCUGCUCACAGAGGAGAUUGUGACAUAUACCUGGGCCCAGGACCUAGCUAAUUUGUCUUUUGUCUUUUUACAGCUUUCUGCCAACAAGAAAGAUAGUGAUAUAUAAUGGGGUUUAAUUCCAAGGUAUUAAUAAUAUUGCUAUUUUCCCUUGGCCCUGCUCUCAGAUGGAAUUGGGACAUAUUGAUAGGCCCCAGAAGCAAGGCGAUGUGAGUCUCCUGCCUGGAGCCUGUCCACAGAGGGCAUUGCUGCGUAUCUCUGAGCUCAUCAACUAUUUGAUAUGACUCUCCUUUUACUUGAGUUUUUUUAAAUAAAAGAGAUUUUGACAUAUCUGUGGGCCCAGCACCUAGGUGAUGGAACUGUCUUCUGCCUGAGUCACUCCCACAGAUGAGACAGUGACUUAUUUCUUGGACCAGCACACUAGUGAUGUAAUUUUCCUGCCUGAUUUCUGCACACAGAUUUCACUGUGACAUAUCUCUGGCCCCAUCACCUAUAUGAUUUGACAGUCUUCUUUGUUCUGGGACCUCUCCACAGUAGGCAUUGUGAUAUAUCACUUGGCCUAGCAGAGAGCAUUGUGACAUACCCGCGAGCCAAGCACACAGAUGAUGUUAUUCUGCUGCCUGUGCCCUGCUUUCAGGAGUGGAUUGCAAUGUAACACUGGCUGAGUACCCAGGUUAAUGACACUGUUGCCUGGUCCCUGUUCUCAGGGAAGACUGUAAUAGACCCCUGACCCAAUAUCCAGGGGACAUUGUGACAUACUUCUUGGCCAUGAACCCAGGUUAUGUGAGCCUUUCUGUGCCCUGCCCAUGUGGACAAUUGUGACAUAUUACCGAGUCCUACACCCAGGCGAUGCUACUCUCCUGUCUGGUCCUUGCCUACAGGGAACAUUGUGACAUAUCUCUUUGCCAUUCAUCCAGGUUCUGCCCACAGGGAAGAUUGUGGUGAAUUACUGAACGCGAUACCUAGAUGAAGGAGAGACUAUAACAUACCUCUUGGCCCAGCACCUAGUUGAUGUAACUCUGCUCUCCUGCCUGGGCCACACCUACAGAAGAAAGAGUGACUUCUCACUGGGCCAGCACACAGGUCAUGUUAUUUUACUGCCUUGAUCCUUGUCCACAAUAAUCAUUGUACAUAGUUUUGGGCUCUUCUACUAGAAGACGUGCGGGAUGGUUAAAUAUCACUGGACCUAGCACCUAGGGAAUGUGACUCUUGUCUUUUGCAUCAGCCCCACUCGUUUUGAGAACUGUAACAUAUCACUGGGCCAAACACCUAGAAGAUGGGAAGUGUCUGCCUAUGCCCUGCAAACAGGGCUUUAGCCCUACCACUCUCAAGAGCCUCGUGACAUAUCUCUGCAUUCAUCAUCUAGGAGAUGUGACUCCUCCCUGCUGCCUGCGCUCUGCCUACAGGGAAGACCAUAACAACAUUUGGCCCAGCAACACGGUGAUGUGUUUUUUCCCAGGGCCUUGCUCACAGGGAGCAUUGUGACAUAUCACUGGAACCAGCAUCCAGGGCUGUGACUCUGUGUCCUGCUGUUAGAACAGGAUUGUAACAUAUCACUGACCAAGCACCCAGGUGAUGUGACUCUUCUGCCUGGUGCCUGCCUUCAGGGAAAAUUGUGACAUAUGCCUGGCCUAGCACCAAAGUGAUGUGGCUCUCCUGCUACCUCUAUGCACAGAUGGGUUGGUGAUGCUCAGACAAAUAUUCAGCACACCUGUGAGUCUGCGACUCCAGUAAUCAUCCACAGUCUGCAGGAGAAAUUGAGGCUCUCACCAACAAAUCAAGUGCACAAUUGAGAUUGCGACUCUUGUACUCAGACCCAACAUACAGAAUGUGUUGACUCUCAAUUUUAAAACCAGAACAUGUGUGAGAUUAUUAAUCUGAUCUCUAAACCAUCCUGCAAGUGUGAUUGUGACACAAGUCUCUGUUCAGUACUUGAGUGAUUUGACUCCUUUGCCUGGGCCCAGUCCAAAGAUGUAAUUGUGACAUAUCACUGAAACCAGCAUAUAGGAGAUGUGUCUCCAUACUCCUGCCUUGGUGCUGCCCACAGUGGGCACUGUGACAUAUCACUGGGCCUUGUAUCCAAGUGAUGUAAGUCUCUUCUUUCUUGAUACUGACCACAGGAGACACUAUGACAUAUCCCUGGGCCUCAAGCUCAGCUUAUGUCAUUCUCCUAUUUGUUCUCUGUCCACAUGGGCCAUUGUGACAUACUGCUGAGUUUGGCAUCCAUGUGAUAUAACACUUCAGCCUCAGCUUUGCUCACUUGGGGCAUUGUGAUGUAUCUCUGCACCCAUCACUUAGAUGAUUCAACUCUUUUCUUCUGUCUCAUCUGUGCUUAAAACGGGCAAUUGUUACCUAUUGCUGGGUCCAGCAUGUAGCUGAUGUGUCUCUUCUCAUCUUCCUAAGGACUGCCUGCAGGGGAUAUGGUGACAUUUUACUUUGCCCAGCACCAAGAUGACUUGAAUCUGCUGCCUUUGUUCUACUUUCAGAAGACAUUGUGACAUAUCGCUGGGCCUAGCACCAAGGUGAUGUGAAUCUUCUGCCUGGACCUGCUCACAGAGGGAAUUGUUACAUAUUUUUGACUUCAUCAACUAUUUGAUGUGACUCUCCUCUCUAACCUGGGCCUUGCCCAUAAAAAACAUUGUGGCUUAUCUCUGGGCCCAAAACCUAGGUGAUGUGACUGUCUUCUUAGGGUCAUGCCCACAGUAGAGAGAUGCCUUAUUGCUAAACCCAGCACACAGGUGAGGUGAUUCUUCUGUCUGGUCCCUGCCCACAGGGGUCAUGAUGACAUCUCUCUAAGCCCAUCACCUAGAUUAUGUGAGUUCUCUUUUUCUUCUGUUAGCUAUAUAGAAGAUUGUGACAUAUUGCUUGGCCCAGACCUCAUGUGAUGUGAAUCUCCUCUCAUGCCUUGGUCCUGUUUUUUUUUGGCCGUUGUUGUUUUGUUUUGUUUUUUGAGAUGGAGUCUUGCUCUGUUGCCUAAGCUGGA